Molecule: unclassified non-coding RNA, 3683 nt
Filed under: Hevea brasiliensis (rubber tree)
Lineage: Eukaryota; Viridiplantae; Streptophyta; Magnoliopsida; Malpighiales; Euphorbiaceae
Source: RNAcentral
GUUAAAAUUCAAACGCGCCGUUUCAUGUCCAGUGCCGAAGCCCCCUUAUCCCCUUUCCCCUCCAAAACCCUCAUCUCCAUUCUCUGCAACUUCUCUUUCUCCUUUUCAUGGCUUUCACUUUCACUUCGCAAUUGUACUCUCUUUCUUCUCACCCCAGCUUUCUUUAUUUAAAAUCUUUCACUCUUAAACCCAUCCCUUCCCUUUUGAAAUUCCCAUUUCCCUCUUUCCGUCACCCACCUCCGCUCCUCGCCAUCGGCCCAGACGGUAAAUUUUACCCUACACCGUCCGAAGACGACCCGCCAGAAGCCCGGGAAGACUCUGCUCAUGGAGUAUCAAAGUUCGAUCAAAUCCACAUCCAGGCUGCUCGUGCCCGGAAAAUUCAAGAAGAGGACUUCAAAAAUAAUCAGUCAACGUAUCUCAACGCCAUUGCCGACACCGAGGACCCUUCUGUAAGUUCUAAUUGUGCAAGUGACGAGAACUCUGGGGAUGAUUUGUUUGGUGAGAUAGAUAAGGCCAUUGCGUUGAAGAGGGAAGAGUUUAUUAAGCAAGGACUUAUAAAACCAAGAACCAAUAAAGAAAAUGGAAAUCUUGUUGAGGGAAUCGAGGAAUUAGAGCCUGAAGAAGUAGUCGAUUUAGAUGAGAUUAAUGAGUUACAGGGGCUUAGGGUGGUAGAUACUGAGUCUGAUGAGGAUGAUGCGACUGGUUUUGAUGAGAGUAUCAGGGAAAAGGGCAAAAGGGACGAUCGUGGGUUAUCUUUGGAUCCGUCUUUUGAUUUGGAUUUUGAUAGUUACGGGAAAGGUAAGGCCACUAUUGUAGAACCGAAAUUUAGAAUGAGUUUGGCUGAGCUUUUGGACGAGAGUAAAGUGGUGCCAGUGUCAGUUGCUGGGAAUUUAGAGGUAGAGAUUACUGGGAUACAACAUGACUCGAGAAUGGUGAGUGCUGGUGAUUUGUUUGUGUGUUGUGUGGGGAGGAGAACAGAUGGACAUUUGUAUUUGACUGAGGCUGAUAAGAGAGGAGCUGUUGCGGUUGUGGCUAGUAAGGAGAUUGAUAUGGAGGAGACUUUAGGGUGUAAGGCUUUAGUGAUCGUGGAAGAUACUAAUGCUGUUUUGCCUGCAUUGGCUGCGGCUUUUUAUAAGUAUCCUUCAAAGAACAUGGCUGUGGUUGGGAUAACUGGGACAAAUGGAAAAACCACAACAGCUUAUUUGAUUAAAGGGAUGUAUGGGGCAAUGGGAUUAAGGACUGGGAUGUUGAGUACUGUUGCAUAUUACAUACAUGGAGAUAAUAAGUUGGAAUCACCUAGCACUACCCCAGAUGCCGUUUUGGUUCAGAAUUUGAUAGCUAAGAUGCUAUAUAAUGGGACUGAAGCUGUUGUGAUGGAGACAUCUUCUCAUGGACUGGCUUUAGGGAGGUAUGAUGAGGUUGAUUUUGAUAUUGCAGUCUUUACCAAUUUAACGAGGGAUCACUUAGAUUUUCAUGGGACUGAGGAGGAGUACAAGGAUGCCAAGGCUAAGUUGUUUGCUAGGAUGGUGGAUCCAGAAAGGCAUAGGAAAAUUGUUAACAUUGAUGACCCCAACGCUUCUUUUUUUAUUGCAAAAGGCAAUCCAGAUGUGCCUGUUGUAACUUUUGCUAUAGAGAAUAAAAGUGCAGAUGUUCAUCCUUUAAAGUUUGAACUCUCCUUGUUUGAGACACAGGUUUUGGUUAAUACACCCCAUGGUAUAUUAGAGAUUUCAUCUGGAUUGCUUGGGAGGCAUAAUAUCUAUAAUAUUCUGGCUGCUGUUGCUGUUGGGAUUGCAGUUGGGGCACCAUUGGAGGACAUUGUCAGAGGUAUUGAAGAGAUUGAUGCAGUACCCGGUAGGUGUGAGUUAAUAGAUGAGGAGCAGGCAUUUGGGGUAAUAGUGGACUAUGCUCAAACUCCUGAUGCCUUAUCUAGACUACUUGAUUCAGUAAGAGAGCUUGGGCCUAAGAGGAUUAUUACUGGUAUGCUUCUAAUGCUUCCCACUAACUUACAGCAUUUUCUUUGCAUAAAAUGCUAAACAUCCUCUAAGUCCAUGAUAAUGCAGUUUUUUGUUUAAACGGGAUCUAUAAGUUUUUUCUUUCCCUUCUAUAAACUUGGACUAUUACUGCAGAAAGUAAUGGCCACUUGGUUCAAUGUCAUAUAUGACACAAAUUUCAUUAGGAUUAGAUAGAAAGAUGUGGAGUUUUGUUGCAAUAGUCAGUAUUCGCUGUUGCAGUCCUGUAGUACACAAGUUUUUGUCUACAUCAUUAUUUCUCUUUAGUAGAUACUGUGCACAAAAUUUUGAAAUUCCUCCUAAGGACAACUGUCAUAAGUAAAAUGAUUAUUAGUUGAAAUUUUGAGAUCAUCAAUCCUGAAAUUUCAAAAGAUUUGAUCUUCUGUAUUAGUUCUGUUACUUAAAUAAUUCUUGAUGUUAACGUCACUGUAUUGUUUACUCUGUCCUUGACUUGACAAGAUGGAGUUAUGUUUUAGUUGUUUGUAGAGAAAAUUACCCAUUCAUCUUUACAAGUUUACCAGUGUUAAUUGUUGUGCAACCAGUAAGUUCCUCAAGUAAAUCCAGUUAUUUGUUCUUCUAACCAACUUCAUGCAUUCUAUAAAGUUAUUGGUUGUGUUGGUGAGGGCGACAGAGCUAAGAGACCAAUGAUGACAAAAAUCGCAACAGAUAAAAGUGAGGUGACAAUGCUAACAUCUGACAAUCCAAAGAAUGAAGAUCCAUUGGACAUCUUGGAUGACAUGCUGGCUGGUGUGGGAUGGACAAUGCAGGAUUAUUUGAAAUAUGGCGAGAAUGAUUACUAUCCACCUCUUCCUAGUGGUCAUCGUCUUUUUCUACAUGAUAUUAGACGAGUGGCUGUACGUUGUGCUGUUGCCAUGGGAGAAGAAGGCGAUAUGGUUGUGAUUGCUGGUAAAGGCCAUGAGACAUAUCAAAUUGAAGGUGACAAAAAUGAUUUCUUUGAUGACCGUGAGGAGUGCAGGGAAGCUUUGCAGUAUGUUGAUGAGCUUCAUCAAGCUGGGAUAGACACCAGUGAAUUUCCGUGGCGGUUACCAGAAAGCCAUUGAUAUAGUUAUGGGGUCAGCGGUAUAGUAUAAGAUGUUCAGAGGCUACUCAAUGCCACUAAACAGUUGUGAAUUCUGCUCCUAGUUUGAUAACAAAAUCGGUUUAGUUAGUGUCAAAAGAAGAGUCUCUGAGGGAUUUGUGUCUCUGAUGAUGACAUUGAUGUACACGUACUUGAAGGAAAUUGAUGAAGAGUUUUUCAAAUAGGUUGAUGAGUCUGUGAAGGAAUAUCAAAAAGCAUGAUCCUCUAAAGCAAACUGUCCAAUUUUGUAAGCAUGGAUGUUUUGCCAAACUGGAUGGAUGUGUAAAGCUGAUUAUAAGCACUGCCAAUGUAAAACUAUUCAGUGCUCCAUUCUGUCAGGCAAAUUAAGUUGUAUAUAGUAUUUAAUGAAGACAUCAAUGUGGUGCAGUGUUUGUGAUCUGUAUUCUCAUAUUGUUGUAGGCUUGUAUGUGACAGAAUAAGACCAAAAGAAAAUGAGUGUCCUUAAUAUUUUUUUAUUGUUCGGGUAAGCAGUAAUUGUCCGUCAACAAUGAUGCACCGGGUCAUCAGUUUUCAUGACCUGAUUAACAGUUGUGUUGAAAGAAAGCAGCAGCUGAAAGCAAAAAAUGCUGUUUAAA